This 297-nucleotide unclassified non-coding RNA is filed under the name uncultured Dothideomycetes. RNAcentral's name for it is "sequence contains ITS1". The stretch from base 1 to 105 matches the Rfam family "5.8S ribosomal RNA", at positions 50 to 154 of the family's 154-position model. Lineage: Eukaryota; Fungi; Ascomycota; Dothideomycetes. The record is from RNAcentral.
GAAAUGCGAUAUGUAAUGUGAAUUGCAGAAUUCAGUGAAUCAUCGAAUCUUUGAACGCACAUUGCGCCCAUUGGUAUUCCAAUGGGCAUGCCUGUUCGAGCGUCAUUUAAACCUUCAAGCUAAGCUUGGUGUUGGGUGACUGUCCGCUUCACUGCGGUCUCGCCUCAAAAUUAUUGGCGGCCGGUACAUUGGCUUCGAGCGCAGCAGAAACGCGAACUCGGGCCCGUCGUAUUGGCUCCCAGAAGCUAUCUUCACAAUUUUGACCUCGGAUCAGGUAGGGAUACCCGCUGAACUUAA